AUUGAACGCUGGCGGCAUGCCUUACACGUGCAAGUCGAACGGUAACAGGUCUUCGGAUGCUGACGAGUGGCGAACGGGUGAGUAAUACAUCGGAACGUGCCUAGUAGUGGGGGAUAACUACUCGAACGAGUGGCUAAUACCGCAUGAGAUCUACGGACGAAAGCAGGGGAUCGCAAGACCUUGUGCUACUAGAGCGGCCGAUGGCAGAUUAGGUAGUUGGUGGGAUAAAAGCUUAUCAAGCCGACGAUCUGUAGCUGGUCUGAGAGGACGAUCAGCCACACUGGGACUGAGAAACGGCCCAGACUCCUACGGGAGGCAGCAGUGGGGAAUUUUGGACAAUGGGCGCAAGCCUGAUCCAGCAAUGCCGCGUGCAGGAUGGAGGCCUUCGGGUUGUAAACUGCUUUUGUACGGAACGAAAAGCCCCGGGUUAAUACCCUGGGGUCAUGACGGUACCGUAAGAAUAAGCACCGGCUAACUACGUGCCAGCCGCCGCAGUAA
Molecule: ribosomal RNA, 498 nt
Filed under: uncultured bacterium
Lineage: Bacteria
Description: partial 16S ribosomal RNA
Rfam family: Bacterial small subunit ribosomal RNA
Source: RNAcentral